RNAcentral lists this ribosomal RNA (506 nucleotides) under uncultured bacterium. Its description in RNAcentral is "bacterial SSU rRNA". It matches the Rfam family "Bacterial small subunit ribosomal RNA", at positions 8 to 518 of the family's 1533-position model. The record is from RNAcentral.
AGAGUUUGAUCAUGGCUCAGGAUGAACGCUGGCGGCGUGCCUAACACAUGCAAGUCGAGCGAAGUAUUUCAAGAAGCCUUCGGGUGGAAUGGAUUUAACUUAGCGGCGGACGGGUGAGUAACGCGUGGGCAACCUACCCUGUACAGGGGAAUAACAAUGGGAAACCAUUGCUAAUACCCCAUAAUACCUUUUAGGGGCAUCCCUUAAAGGUCAAAGAAUUUCGGUAUAGGAUGGGCCCGCGUCGCAUUAGCUAGUUGGUAAGGUAACGGCUUACCAAGGCGACGAUGCGUAGCCGGCCUGAGAGGGUGAACGGCCACACUGGAACUGAGACACGGUCCAGACUCCUACGGGAGGCAGCAGUGGGGAAUAUUGCACAAUGGGGGAAACCCUGAUGCAGCAACGCCGCGUGAGCGAUGAAGGCUUUCGGGUCGUAAAGCUCUGUCCUAAGGGAAGAUAAUGACGGUACCUUAGGAGGAAGCCCCGGCUAACUACGUGCCAGCCGCAGC